Molecule: long non-coding RNA, 1242 nt
Organism: Carya illinoinensis
Lineage: Eukaryota; Viridiplantae; Streptophyta; Magnoliopsida; Fagales; Juglandaceae
Exons: 6
Source: RefSeq, a predicted model, not a curated record
AGCCAAUCGAUGGAUGAACAUGAAUGAACAGUGGUUUAUUCCGCUUAUGCCAUUCUCUGUUCCCUUUUCCUUCCGAGUUCCCUCUCUCAAGUCUCAACUCGAACCCUCUCUCUUCUCUGUGUCUCCACAAGGCCCUUGCCACCGUCAGCAGCCGCGAAGCACACCGAAUAGGAGGGUUUUGUCGUCCCUCGCUGUCUGAUGCUUCUUUCUCCAACAAAAACCAAAGCCCAUAGAGCGAGAGAGAGAAUUUGAGGCUUCCAAAUGUAUUCCUAGGGCUCGACGGAAACCACCUCUCCACGUUUGACGGCAGCCAGCUUGACGGAAACUCUGCUCAGAGCUUCUGAUUCUUCACCUAGGGUUCUUCAAGUUCGACGGAAACCACCUUCGGAAUCUUCACCGACGACAUAUUUGCCUAGGUUUUCUUUCUCAGCACGCCAUUUCUAUUUGUCUGUCUGUCUGUCUCUCUCUCUCACUCUCAUAGCUUGUCUCUCUCCUUUUUUUUUUUUAUGGGUUUUGGCGGGCUUUCGAAUGUAUUUCUUGGGUUCGAUGGAAAGCACCUCUUCACAAUCGACGACGGCUAGCUCGACGAAAACUCUGCUCAGAGGCUUCGGAAUUUUUACCGAUGGAAUCUUCGCCUAGGGUUUUGGCAGCCGCGGAGCUUGGCGAAGGUGGCUUUGGACCCGUAUAAAAGGAGAAGCUUUUGAAGGGAAUGAAGAGGACAAGGCACUUAUGGGGUUGCUUGAUGAGUUGAAAGAUCAGGUGGCAUCGGAAGUAGCAUACCUCUGUCACCCCAGUGGCUUUUUGCCAAACCAACUGAGCCUAAGAUGGUAUUGUGACACGUGAUGAAAUAAUUGGCUUGUACUGGGGUUUUGUUCCCAAUGCUUUAACAACCCUACCAAGUAGCAGUAAUAACAUAAUUGAAGAUGAACUGAUGACUACUGCAUAAUACGCAUGGAAAUGAUCUACCUGCUAUGUACUGGAAUGAAAUUAUUGAUAUGCUUUAGCGUUCCCAGAAGAGCAAAAGCAACUGGUGAAACAGCUUCUGAGUUCCAGGAAAGUCCAUCAUUUCCCAUUUACUUCUAACCGACACUUGCAAUAAGCAUAAAAAUGGUUUGAAGUCCCACACCACCGAUUUAGUUUUCCAUGUUGGAACUACAUGAACCUGUUUUGUUUUGUUCCAUAAUUUCACAUUUUUUUUUAAUUUUUAUCUUAAUAAAAUAUAAUAGUACUUUCAACUGGGCA